This 283-nucleotide unclassified non-coding RNA is filed under the name Streptomyces mauvecolor. Its description in RNAcentral is "partial 16S-23S ribosomal RNA gene spacer". The record is from RNAcentral. Lineage: Bacteria; Bacillati; Actinomycetota; Actinomycetes; Kitasatosporales; Streptomycetaceae.
AAGGAGCACAGCACCGUCUGCAGGCAGAUGUCCUGCACGGUCAGCUCAUGGGUGGAACGUUGACUAUUCGGCACAGUUAAGUUCGGUGGGUUUGCUAGUACUGCUUCGGCGUGGAACGUGAACACAUCAACUGGCUGGGCCGGGCACGCUGUUGGGUGUCUGAAGGCACGGGCUUAUGCCUGCUGGUCUUCGGUCGCCGGCCCCAGUGCACUCACCAGGUUCUGGUGGGGUGAUGGGUGGCUGGUCGUUGUUUGAGAACUGCACAGUGGACGCGAGCAUCUGU